This 497-nucleotide ribosomal RNA is filed under the name uncultured bacterium. RNAcentral's name for it is "partial 16S ribosomal RNA". It matches the Rfam family "Bacterial small subunit ribosomal RNA", at positions 28 to 507 of the family's 1533-position model. The record is from RNAcentral.
GAUGAACGCUGGCGGCGUGCCUAAUACAUGCAAGUCGAGCGAACAGACGAGGAGCUUGCUCCUCUGACGUUAGCGGCGGACGGGUGAGUAACACGUGGAUAACCUACCUAUAAGACUGGGAUAACUUCGGGAAACCGGAGCUAAUACCGGAUAAUAUAUUGAACCGCAUGGUUCAAUAGUGAAAGACGGUUUUGCUGUCACUUAUAGAUGGAUCCGCGCCGCAUUAGCUACUUGGUAAGGUAACUGCUUACCAAGGCAACGAUGCGUAGCCGACCUGAGAGGGUGAUCGGCCACACUGGAACUGAGACACGGUCCAGACUCCUACGGGAGGCAGCAGUAGGGAAUCUUCCGCAAUGGGCGAAAGCCUGACGGAGCAACGCCGCGUGAGUGAUGAAGGUCUUCGGAUCGUAAAACUCUGUUAUUAGGGAAGAACAAAUGUGUAAGUAACUAUGCACGUCUUGACGGUACCUAAUCAGAAAGCCACGGCUAACUACGUG